GUUUAUUUAUGUUUACAUUUAUUUAUUUAUAUAUAUUUAUUUAUAUUAAUCCUCUAUACAGUUCUCUACAUUUAUCUUAUUUUAAUUUACUUGAAUCCUGUUUUACUUCUAUUAUUAUCUCUACUUUCUAUAUUAGCUAAGAGUUUGUUUACUGUUUACUGUUUUUGUUUACUUUUUAUAGUUAGUUAGUUAAGUUUAUUGUUUAUCUUAUAUUAUUAUUAUUAUAAUUAUUGUUUACCGUUUACUUUUUGUUUUACUUUUUAUAGUUAUCUAAGAGUGUAUUGUUUAUCUUAUAUUGUAUAUAAUUUAAUAUUGUGUUGUGUUUCUUCUGUAAGCUACUGGACAAACAAUUUCCUUGAGGGAGUCAUCCCAAAAGGAUCAAUGAAGCCUAAUCUAAUCUAAUCUAGAUCACCCUGGAGGCUGUUGGACAACUUGGUCUCUCAGAGCACAGCUGUAGCUGUGCUGCGGGCAAAGGCUUCUGUAGCCAUGUAACCGCUCUGCUCUUCCAGACAGCGCAUUAUGUGCAGCUGGGCCUUGACGUGGUUCCACCUUCCCUGGUCUGUACCAGUCAACCACAGAUGUGGCCUCGACCUAGAACACAGGGAAUCCAUCCAGAGGCUGUGAGUGACCUUGUGGUGAAAAAACCCAAGUCGGUGGGGAAGAGUCAAGUCCACACUCUACAGAGCGUAUGCUGAGGGAAUAUCCAGCUUGGAGUUGGUACCAUCUCAGCUGUGCUGACCUGGAAGAUGUCAGCAAUGACCUGUUCUUUAAGGCCAGUUGCUACUCUACAACAGUAGAUGAAAAAGUCAUCAAUGACUGAAAUCUUCCUUGAAGGGCUUGGUGUUGGAAUCGCCUCUUGUCCAAUCCUCUGUGCUUUGCUCCAAUAAAGAAUAUAUUGUAUUGAGGGGCAAACAGACUCCCAAAACACUUCUUGAGAUGGAAACCGAGUAUAAUAUUUCAUGGUCUGAUCAGACACACAAAAUCUGUUGAGGACAGUUUGUGGCCCCAUAGACAUUUCUUUCAGCCUUGCCUCCAGCUCAGCAAUAUACUCCAGGGCAUCAUCCAGUGCACCUACAAAAAAAGAAGACAAAUCAGUCUUCAUUACCAUUCAUUAGUAUUCACCCUUUAUUUUUAUUGUAUUGUUAUUCUGUAUACUUAAGUUUAUUUAUAUUUAUUAUUAUUAAUUAAUUUAUUUGUACUGUUUUCUGUUUUUCUUUUUUAUAUAUUAACUAUAGGUUAAAUGUUGAGCGUUGUACAUAGAGAGCAAAAACCAAAGUCAAAUUCCUAGUUUGUUCACAAACCUGGCCAAUAAAGCUGAAUCUGUAUCUGAAUUAAUAUGCAACCCCAGUUUAACAGUACGUCUGAUGUUGAUUGAAUGUUUUAACGUUAACCAUGCCAUGUUUGGCAAAAUUAUACAAUAGCCCAACAAGUGUUGAACACAAAUAACAGACAUAACAGCUAGUUAGCACACAUCUACUUACCGGCAGGGGGGCGUAUCGCGUAAUCAUGUUCCCUGGUACCUCUCCGGUCCGUUUGUGUUUUGUCCUCUCCUUCAGCUUUUCGAGCCGACACCCGUUUAUACACGGGUGUUUUCUUCGGGGCUGUGGUGUAGUUGUUCCAGUCAAAACGACUGGUAACAGCUCCAGUAUUCAGCGUAGCACUCCCGUCGUUAUAAUCAGCCGCUGAGAAAUGCCGACUACAGACCAGUGUACUCCCCAUUCUGAAUUACGAAAUUAACUCCUUCAUCCCGUCUGAUCGCCCUGACCCACUGUUGUAUUGGGUAUUAGUUGGGAAGUCGUGGAAAUGUAAAUACAUUUUUUUUGGUUUUGAAUUGGCGCAUAGAGGUACACAACCAAAGCUUUUGUUUUUUGACUGCGCCAUCGUCAAAUAUCAUGGACUACUCGACCGGAAGUCCUUUUAACCGGUGAAGGCAAAAUCGAACGCCGAACCAGGAAGUUGUGAGAUAGGCCGGACGAAAAGAUAGCGGCGCGGCGCGGCACGCC
Molecule: long non-coding RNA, 2003 nt
Organism: Gadus macrocephalus (Pacific cod)
Lineage: Eukaryota; Metazoa; Chordata; Actinopteri; Gadiformes; Gadidae
Exons: 3
Source: RefSeq, a predicted model, not a curated record